Molecule: non-coding RNA, 71 nt
Organism: Podarcis lilfordi (Lilford's wall lizard)
Lineage: Eukaryota; Metazoa; Chordata; Lepidosauria; Squamata; Lacertidae
Source: the annotation of a GenBank genome assembly
GGGCCGUAGCUCAGUGGCAGGGCAUCUGCCUUGAAUGCAAGAGGACCCGAGGUUAAUCCCCAGUGGCAUCU